Long non-coding RNA from Xiphophorus maculatus (southern platyfish), 938 nucleotides. RefSeq lists it as uncharacterized. The transcript has 2 exons. NCBI's taxonomy places the organism in Eukaryota, Metazoa, Chordata, Actinopteri, Cyprinodontiformes, Poeciliidae. The record is from RefSeq and is a predicted model, not a curated record.
CCCCAAAAAACCCCACAACAUUAACGAAGCAUAAUUACAAAUUCAAAAGCACAACAUUAACAAAGCACUACAACAUUGAAUACGCUGAGUCCUACUUACGUCACCACCAUCUUCCAUCUUGAAAGUGGCAGUGGAGAAAACGUGCUGCAUGGACUAGUUUCAACGGUUUUACAGUACAAAGUGGACCCACUGCCUUUACCUUUCACAGCGAACCAGAAGUGGGCUGAAAGCAAAUUAAUUCAGAGAGCAGUGCGCAUCCCGGGGGAUUUCGUCAGGACAGGUCCAUAAAGAUCAGAGCUGGAGCUGUUUUUCUUCAGACUUCUGUUUUGCAGUUCAUCUCCACAAUGUCUGUGUUUAGAUGCUAAGUCAUAUGGUGAAGAUAUGUUUUUUUUCCUGAAUGUGAAUGAAUCAGGGAUGUAUUUUCUAUUACACUGUUAGAUAAUUUUUAUCAUUCGCUUUAACCUGUGAUGUUUCAGAGGCCCAGUCACCGAACUGCUCCCAGCUUGACCAGCAGACUGAACCCCUGCCUGUGCUCUGUGUUGCCAGUAUAAUAUAAAUUUGUAAUGUACUGCACACUUUUUUUUUCACUUUUUGGGUAUUUUAAGGGAAAUAUCUCAAUUUGAAGUAUUAGGGUAUUAUGACAGUUCAUGUAAAGAAAUUAAAAAUAAUUUAGUCAGAUUUUGUGCACACUGCUGUCUAUAGCACAGUUAACAUAUUAAUAAUUUUUUUUAAAAAGUAAAAAUACGUAGUUAAAGUUUGACAACUAUUAUCAAAGUUUGUCUUUACAAUAAAAUGUCUAAAAAUUUAAAUGAAGUUAUGUUUUUUAUUCAUAUCUUGAAAUGGACAAAUGCACAUUGAAUUAUGGAAUUGUGUUAAUAGUGAGUACAUCACUGUAAAGGUGUGUGUGUGUGUUCAUCAAUAAAAACGAUUUAUCAGAA